Corvus hawaiiensis (hawaiian crow) is the source of this 2108-nucleotide long non-coding RNA. RefSeq lists it as uncharacterized. NCBI's taxonomy places the organism in Eukaryota, Metazoa, Chordata, Aves, Passeriformes, Corvidae. The record is from RefSeq and is a predicted model, not a curated record. The transcript has 2 exons.
CCGCCGGCGGCCUUUUCCCCGGCCCCUGGCUGCCCCGGCACCGCCUCGCUGCGCGGGGCUUCGUGAGGCGGCCCCGGAGGGGCUUCGAGAUGGUUCCUCCCCUCAGCCCCGCCGGGAGAGCGGCGGGAAGGGGAGUCGCGGCUCGGGAGAGGCAUUCCAGAGGAAUACAAAUCAGGGGAUAAUCCCGCUGGGGCCGCAGCCGCACGCUGCUCACAGCGGCCCUUUCUCCCAGUAAGGCCGCAGGAACGCCAGGGUGAUGGGUUGAGGCUCAAACAGCGGCUGCCGUGGGGUUGCCCAGGCUCAGACCUGCGCUCGCACGCCUGACCGAGACUGAUAAAUCUUUCAUGCACUCACACAGGCUGUUUCUCGCAGCAGAGCAGAAUAAGAGGGUUCACACUGCAAGUUGUGGCUGAAGAACAGCAACUUCACUUAGAAAGGAAGCACUGUAACUCUCUGAGCUCUGCAGCUGGGCAGUUCCCCAUCCAUUGCCUGAACCUGAAGGUUUGUCUUAGGAGUUCCCGAAAGCUCCUCUUGGGAGCUGAGGACUUGCAAAGUGGCAGUGAACAGUGCCCUUCUGAUCCAAGUGAAUUGGAGUACCCUCACACCAUAUAGUUGUCUGCGAUGGAAGCUGCAUUAACUAUUUCAAAGGAAGAAAAAAGUCCUGCCAGCCCCAUGAUUAAUUGAUGAAACCUCAUUUCUGUGAGCUUCUGUCUCAUGCUUGACUGAGAGCUUGACCUGAAUCCUGCCCUACAACUGGGUCAUUCUCUACCUGGUUGGGAGAGAACAGGAUGAGUUCUUCCAUGGUGGGCACAUGCACCCUGCUGUGAUUUCCAAGCUGAGCUGGAAAACGAAGAAACCUCCUUCUUCCAAAUGUUAGGUUGUUUCGUGAUUGGCAGAACUGGUGUGGUCCGGUUUCCUACAGAUUCAUACCUGAUAUCUGGCAGAGGGGGGACACCCUCAGUGAAGAGGCUUGUAGGAUCUCGCUGCCUUACCUUGCUGCCAUUUUUCAUUAUUCCUGCAGGGGUUCCCCAGGAUUAGCUCUUGGACCUGUAUCCCUCUGUUUGUUUUGUUUAAAACAGACCAGCGAGUUCGGCACUUCCUGAGGUUGUAGAAGGUAAGAGACAGGAUCAGGGGGAAGAAAGAUCCAGUGAGUUUAAUGGUGUCAGCCUUAAUUCUUUGGGCAAAAGGGAUUUUAAAACUACCCCUAUAAUCAGGAAGAGUUAAACCAGGAUGAAAUCUGGUGAGGAUUUGACCCUCCACCACUGUGACAGGGGAGUUUCUGCACAGAAGCAGCACAGCUGGGACACCCAGUAAUAUUUCCUUGGUCCUUCCCACCCUAAAACAUGUUCUGCAGCGUGGUUUCCAAAGUUCUGGGAGUUGAGGGUGUGCGGGAUACUCCUUCCAGAGCAGACAUCUGCAUAAAUUGCCAUAAUAAUGCCGUAAAGCAGGAGGAAAAGCAGUUUUCCCCUCCUACAUGCUCUCUACCCCUGCUCAUUCCCACUGCUCCUCGUAAUAUAAAAUGUACAUAUUCUCCCAGCUUAUGCUUUAGUGGCCACGAUCCAAUAAACUCCUCGAGGUUUUCCCUCCUGCUCUCCCCACAGCCCCCUUUGUGCCGCCAGCCUCCCAGAGACAUCCCCAUCCCUCACAUGAGCCUAGGCUCUUUCCCUGCUGCAGGAAACUCACACAAGUGGACACGGGGGGAAAGGGGGAGGAAGCCUCUUUGGGAAGCAGGAGAGGAGCUGGCGUGUUGUGAGGGAAGGAUGUGGCUGCUAAGCUUCUGCCAAAAGCAGAGUUUUAAAAAGCUAGGAUGACACUGACGCAGGAGCGGCACAAGACACCAGCAACUGGUUCCCAUCAAGUGAGGACUGGUUGUAUCUGCAAGUGUGAUGAAGCCAUCCUAACAGCAAGGUCUGGAAGGACUGGCUAGUGUGGUUUCUGAAAUUCACAUGGCAGCAGAAGACAAAACCCAUUCUCCAGCCUUUAUUCGUGGAGUUCAGGGCAACAUAAACAAUAAUAAAGAGCAGGGAUGACUAAAAUAGGAAGGCUGGUUUUGCGGGCAUGACAGGAGCAAAAAUAGACAUAUUUUAUAAAUAAAGAUGUGCUGGAAA